Molecule: ribosomal RNA, 274 nt
Filed under: uncultured bacterium
Lineage: Bacteria
Description: partial 16S ribosomal RNA
Rfam family: Bacterial small subunit ribosomal RNA
Source: RNAcentral
AUACGGAGGGUGCAAGCGUUAUCCGGAUUUAUUGGGUUUAAAGGGUGCGCAGGCGGACCUGUCAGUCAGUGGUGAAAUCCCGGGGCUCAACCCCGGAACUGCCAUUGAUACUACAGGUCUUGAAUACGGUUGAAGUAGGCGGAAUGUAGCAUGUAGCGGUGAAAUGCAUAGAUAUGCUACAGAACACCGAUCGCGAAGGCAGCUUACUAAGCCGAUAUUGACGCCCAGGCACGAAAGCGUGGGUAGCGAACAGGAUUAGAAACCCUAGUAGUCC